This 45-nucleotide non-coding RNA is filed under the name Schistosoma curassoni. Lineage: Eukaryota; Metazoa; Platyhelminthes; Trematoda; Strigeidida; Schistosomatidae. The record is from RNAcentral.
AUCCAGCCGACGAGUCCCAAGUAGGACGAAACGCGAGUCCUAGAU